UUGCUAAUGGAGCCACCCCCUGUCAUAAAGAGUCUGAAGUGAUCUGGACCAUCUGAACCCAGUGAACCUCACACUCAUCCAUUGCCUCAGUGACGUCAUCAAGUUCAUGGUCCAGGAGAAACAAGAGGAAGCUUGUGUGCUAGAAGCCUUGGUAAAACACAUGUGCUCCAGAGAGGAGAAGAUAAACUGUGAAGAUGAGAGACCUGGAAUGCAGUGGCCAGGUUCAUGCUGAGAUGCCCAACUCAAAGCCAAAGGGAUUUAAUGGUCCAGUGACUGGGAAAAUGGUCCAUAAUUCCGAUGGCAGGAAAUCUGGGAACCAAACUGCUUACAAUGAAUUAAUUGCAUGAACAAAACACAUGUGCUUAGGAACUCAGAAAUUUGUCCUGGAGUGAGACAGGUCAGUCCGGAGAUGAAGAAUGUGGCAAUAACCAUCAUGGAGAGAGGAGAAUCAACCUCUUCCACACUCCAGAGAUCCAGGAAUACAUUCUGUUGAUGGCUGAAGUAAUAGGAAUGCUUACCUCCAACUGCAGCUUAACACUCAACCACGGUGGUCAAAUGCCUGUUGCAGGUGGGCACUGAAGCAGUCAUUCCGGCUCACACAGAGGACUCCAUACCUGAGAGCCAUUCUAGUGCUUCACGCUGAGGACUGCAUUUCACCUUUACGACAACCAUAUAAAGUGGGUGCUGUUUUUUCUCUAUUUUUGCUAAUGAGGAAAUGGGGGAGGGAACUGUUUAUUUGCUGGAUGUCAAACCUUGAAGUUAUAAAUAAAAGAGCUAGGAUUUGAA
This is a non-coding RNA of Marmota flaviventris (yellow-bellied marmot), 786 nucleotides long. Lineage: Eukaryota; Metazoa; Chordata; Mammalia; Rodentia; Sciuridae. The record is from RefSeq and is a predicted model, not a curated record.